UGACAUUCAGCUAGCCGGAAACUACACGAACCGCUGAUCCGAUUUUGUAAAAGCCUUUUAUUUUUCAAGUUAUUGAUAGAAAACAAAACAACCUAAAACCACUCUCGAAAAAUGCUACCCCAAAUAAAUAUAGGUUGUUUUGCCCCUCGGGAGUCCUAUGUGCAUUCGAGUCAAACGUGCACAUAGAACCGUAGCAAAUCAACCUAUGUGCCAUCUAUAUAAUUUUAUAGUCAUGAUGCAUAUACGCCUAAUAUACGCCCAUAUCAAAAUGACCUAUGUACAUGGUUAUUUUGCUAAUUAAAAAAUAUGUAUAGGUCGUUUUUUUUAUGAAACCCUAAAACAAAAAUAUUUUGCAAACUUCAAGUUCACCCAAUCCUCACGCAACGUGUAGGCAACAGCUGAUUGAGAGCAUGAAAUGUUUCAAUGCUUCCAGCGUGAGAGAGAGAAACCGUUAGGAGAGAAAAACACCCAACCCGCGCUCUCGUAAACAUCUGUCGGAUAGGUGCUUGCAAUUUAACUUACACGACAAUGUAAACAUUAUUUGCCUGAGUCGGAUAGGACUUUUAAUAUUUUCUACGAUUAUUUACCAUUAUUUUUACGAUUAUUUACCAAAGUAGUGCUAGAAUCUUGUUGUAGGCUGAUAAACUAGAGUUCAGAAUCUGGUGAACUGGUUUUGAGGACAAAUCAGCAACGGCGAGAACAGAGAAACGAUAACUCUCCAAGCUGGGGACUUCCAAGGACUGGGAACAGCCGUUGGUGUCCUGAAGGCGGUUCGUUGUGGCUUUCCGCAAUGCGUCCAGUGGGUGGAGGACGCCAACCAGCUGAGGAGGGAGGCAUUCGGUGUUAGCCAGCGGCUCAAGCGGUGAAUUGUGCAAGAGAUUGCCAACGGGUACGGAGUUUAUCCGCCGCACUGCAAGAAAAAGUAAACCAUCCUGCCCGAUCCGGUGUUGCUGGACGUGGAGAAGCGCACCCCGGCAAAGCGAACGGCCGAGGGCAAACCAAAGAAAAGGGAGAUUUAAGAUUUUGCUGUUUCCUGUUUAAUUUUCACGAUAUUUGAUUAUUUAGGUGGAUGGUUCCCGUGGAAGUUAAAAAAUACCACUUUUUAGUUUUCUGUUCUGAUUUUAAAUAAAAAUUUGAAGAUUUUGCUCCAAUUUAAAUAAUGUUUGGCUUCUUGAUUUUUAUUUUUUGAAAAGUGAGAUGAAAUCCUCAAAAAAUAUUUUGAGCUGGGCAAAAUGUCACAGAAAUUUUAAGUUAUUUCAAUCAUUCUGGCUGGACAAGAUAAUUAAAUGUUGCUUUGGUAUGAAAUUCAAUAAAAUAUAAAAAGAUAAAAUAUAAGCAAAUCAGCGAUAACUUUUUAGCUAUAUUAGAAAAAAUUACU
This is a long non-coding RNA of Culex pipiens pallens (northern house mosquito), 1378 nucleotides long. RefSeq lists it as uncharacterized. The record is from RefSeq and is a predicted model, not a curated record. Lineage: Eukaryota; Metazoa; Arthropoda; Insecta; Diptera; Culicidae. The transcript has 3 exons.